UACGUAGGGCGCGAGCGUUGUCCGGAUUUAUUGGGCAUAAAGAGCUCGUAGGCGGCUUGUCGCGUCGUUCGUGAAAACCUGCAGCUCAACUGCAGGCUUGCGGUCGAUACGGGCAGGCUAGAGUUCGGUAGGGGAGACUGGAAUUCCUGGUGUAGCGGUGAAAUACGUAGAGAUAGGGAGGAACAUCAAUAACGGCGAAGGCAGUUAACUAUUCUGUUACUGACAUUGAGGCACGAAAGCGUGGGGAGCAAAACGG
Molecule: ribosomal RNA, 256 nt
Filed under: uncultured bacterium
Lineage: Bacteria
Description: partial 16S ribosomal RNA
Rfam family: Bacterial small subunit ribosomal RNA
Source: RNAcentral